This 29-nucleotide small RNA is filed under the name Bombyx mori (domestic silkworm). Its description in RNAcentral is "ovarian small RNA-12814". The record is from RNAcentral. Lineage: Eukaryota; Metazoa; Arthropoda; Insecta; Lepidoptera; Bombycidae.
CAACGUGUUGUUUGCGUAACCGAAUACGC